RNAcentral lists this ribosomal RNA (440 nucleotides) under uncultured bacterium. RNAcentral describes it as "partial 16S ribosomal RNA". It matches the Rfam family "Bacterial small subunit ribosomal RNA", at positions 338 to 795 of the family's 1533-position model. The record is from RNAcentral.
CCUACGGGGGGCAGCAGUGGGGAAUAUUGCACAAUGGGGGAAACUCUGAUGCAGCGACGCCGCGUGCGUGAAGAAGUAUUUCGUUAUGUAAAGCUCUAUCAGCAGGGAAGAAAAUGACGGUACCUGAGUAAGAAGCCACGGCUAACUACGUGCCAGCAGCCGCGGUAAUACGUAGGGGGCAAGCGUUAUCCGGAUUUACUGGGUGUAAAGGGAGCGUAGACGGCAGUGCAAGUCUGGAGUGAAAGGCCGGGGCUCAACCCCCGGACUGCUCUUGAAACUGUACGGCUGGAGUGCAGGAGAGGUAAGUGGAAUGCCUAGUGUAGCGGUGAAAUGCGUAGAGAUUAGGAGGAACACCAGUGGCGAAGGCGGCUUACUGAACUGUAACUGACGUUGAGGCUCGAAAGCGUGGGGAGCAAACAGGAUUAGAUACCCUAGUAGUC